RNAcentral lists this unclassified non-coding RNA (232 nucleotides) under Hevea brasiliensis (rubber tree). Lineage: Eukaryota; Viridiplantae; Streptophyta; Magnoliopsida; Malpighiales; Euphorbiaceae. The record is from RNAcentral.
AUUAUUAUUAUUAUUAUUAUUUAAGUAUUGAAAAUGCUAUGCACAUUUUACCUCCGUGUUGAAUUAAUUUAAAAUGCAGUGAUACUCUCCCAGAAACGUGUUUUUAAACACAAAAAAAUGUUUGAGGACCCCUAUGAAAAAUUUUUGAAUAAUUUUUUUCCCAUAUUGUUAGCAUAAUUACAUCAAUUAUUAUUCUUGUCUAAAUUAACUCAUAUUCUCAUGUAUAAAUAGA